Molecule: ribosomal RNA, 468 nt
Filed under: uncultured bacterium
Lineage: Bacteria
Description: partial 16S ribosomal RNA
Rfam family: Bacterial small subunit ribosomal RNA
Source: RNAcentral
GACGAACGCUGGCGGCGUGCUUAACACAUGCAAGUCGAACGGUGAAGCUCCAGCUUGCUGGAGUGGAUCAGUGGCGAACGGGUGAGUAACACGUGAGCAACCUGCCCCUGACUCUGGAAUAAGCGCUGGAAACGGCGUCUAAUACUGGAUACGAGAAGGGCCCGCAUGGGCACUUUCUGGAAAGUUUUUCGGUUGGGGAUGGGCUCGCGGCCUAUCAGCUUGUUGGUGAGGUAAUGGCUCACCAAGGCGACGACGGGUAGCCGGCCUGAGAGGGCGACCGGCCACACUGGGACUGAGACACGGCCCAGACUCCUACGGGAGGCAGCAGUGGGGAAUAUUGCACAAUGGGCGAAAGCCUGAUGCAGCGACGCCGCGUGAGGGAUAACGGCCUUCGGGUUGUAAACCUCUUUCAGCAGGGAAGAAGCGAAAGUGACGGUACCUGCAGAAGAAGCACCGGCUAACUACGUG